RNAcentral lists this long non-coding RNA (1882 nucleotides) under Drosophila melanogaster (fruit fly). RNAcentral describes it as "antisense RNA:CR46005 (Dmel_CR46005)". Lineage: Eukaryota; Metazoa; Arthropoda; Insecta; Diptera; Drosophilidae. The record is from RNAcentral.
AAGCAAUGAGGUUUCAACAAGUGGCUGAUUGGGCAAGGGCACAUGGCCAGGUAUUGUGUUUCCAUAUGUAAUAGCUUGUCUCAUAACGUCCUCGUUCAACCGGAUGUUCAAUGGCCGAUAAACCGGCGGUGAAGCCUUCUCGACCACGCCCACAUUGUAGUCGAUCUUUGUGUUGGCACUCGGAGUUUGCGAAUUGGAGGUCUGCGUGCUCACAUGUCCGGUUACAGCAUUCUUUGUUGUGUAGUAUGUGCUCAUUGCUAUGUUGAGACCAAGUUCGAUUGUUUUAGUGUUUGGUGCGUUCGUGUUUGUGUUGGAGGUUUGCAGUGUAUCUUGGAGCAAACCAAGACGACUUGCCACAGUCUGUGCAAUGGAUUCCCGGAAGGGUAACUGCACAUUCAGGCCGAUGUCUGAAGAGCCAUCGGGCUUACCUGGUUGAACUGGAGCCAAUGGCUGUGAAAGUGUGCGAAUUUCCGUCUUGGGAGGGGACUUUUUUAGGAAACAACCGGAACAGGCCUCCGAGUUGAAGUUGUACUUGGGCAGAGCCACCGGAGCUGCAGGAAGCAGGACCUUUGGAGUCGUUGUCACAGGAACACUUUCUGGAAAGUAAAUAAUAUUACAAGUCAUUCAAAAGUUCCCCUUGAUCACCUAUACAAUCCUCUGUUAGAAAUUUCCAAAUAAAAUGUAUUACAUUUAAAAACAAACCAAAACAUAUUAUACAAGUUAAGAUUAUUCUUAUCAAACCAAAAACGUUUGGUUAUAUUUAGAAACGUAGCUCGAAAACCAGUAUGACUUUAAAGGAAAUAAUCUGAAUGGAAGUCUGAUUUCAAUCGGGUUUAUGAUUUGAAUUAAUAAAUAAUAUUAUCAGACCAAAAGCAUAUAUUUUAGUGCUGUCAUAGGUUCGUAUUGCAAUUCGAAUUAAAUAUUCAGAAUCGGUCAAGAAUUCUGUCAAUACUCACUUGAACCAACUGGACCCGCGUAAGGAUAGCUCUUCAUGGAGAUUAUCCGGAAUUUGCCCUCCUCGUCGGUGGCAUAGACCGUCACGUGAUAGAUACCAUCGGCGGUGAUGAACCCAAACUCGCCCAUGAUAAUGCCGCGUUCAUCUGUGAGUUGGGGAAACAAGAUGAGAUUUGACCAAAAUGAUUUUGUGUUCAUUUUGAAUAUGAAUGCGAAUUUUACGCCGAUAUGUGAUUUUUAAUUUGUUUGAUAACCAGCCACGAGCAGGCCCAUAAAGAUUAAGAUCUAAUAAACUGUAUCGAUAAUGGCGAUCAUAACUUGUGAGCUGGUUUCUUAAAACCCCUCAACCGCACCACACACCCCCAUCGCUUUGAAUUGAUAUGUUAGGCAGCUUCCUACGUAAGAAACAUUCCUAUGUUGAGAUGAAUUUAUUAAUCUGGAUGACACUGUGGAUGGUCUGAAAGAGGUGCGUCUCUCACCAAAGCAUCCUGUCCAGCCACCCACUAAAAUGUUCUCAUUUGAAAUUCUGGCUUGUGGCCUUUGUGUCUGGAAACAGGUUUCCACAAUACUGGCCAACAAGUUUUAACGGUUUGCAUCAAUUGGCUUUCGCUUGUUUGUUUUAGGUUUAAUUCAAAUUUGGCUUCGUGUCACUUUCCCAUUUGUCUCGAUCGAUUUCGACGGGGCUUGAAAACAAUUCUUUAUUUCAAUUUAUUCUUUUGUCGUGAUCAAUUUGAUUUUAAAUUGUUCAAUGAGCUGGGCUAAAUAAUGAAAACUAUUAAACUCGUAUCAAUAUAAAUUAAGACUAUCAUUUUCUGGUUAUACAAUUAACACUAAUAAAAAAAUAACCAUAAAAUUAACAUACAUUUUAGUGGGUAAUAAAAAUUGAAACUGGGAAUAAAUUAUUAUAAAUUAUAAUUAGAAAAUUAUU